This 254-nucleotide ribosomal RNA is filed under the name uncultured bacterium. RNAcentral describes it as "partial 16S ribosomal RNA". It matches the Rfam family "Bacterial small subunit ribosomal RNA", at positions 524 to 776 of the family's 1533-position model. The record is from RNAcentral.
UACGUAGGGCGCAAGCGUUGUCCGGAAUUACUGGGCGUAAAGGGCUCGUAGGCGGCCAACUAAGUCGGACGUGAAAUCCCUCGGCUUAACCGGGGAACUGCGUCCGAUACUGGAUGGCUUGAGGUUGGGAGAGGGAUGCGGAAUUCCAGGUGUAGCGGUGAAAUGCGUAGAUAUCUGGAGGAACACCGGUGGCGAAGGCGGCAUCCUGGACCAAUUCUGACGCUGAGUGAGCGAAAGCCAGGGGAGCAAACGGG